Molecule: ribosomal RNA, 875 nt
Filed under: Priestia endophytica
Lineage: Bacteria; Bacillati; Bacillota; Bacilli; Caryophanales; Bacillaceae
Description: bacterial SSU rRNA
Rfam family: Bacterial small subunit ribosomal RNA
Source: RNAcentral
UCGAGCGGAGUUUUGAAAAGCUUGCUUUUCAAAACUUAGCGGCGGACGGGUGAGUAACACGUGGGCAACCUGCCCUUGAGACGGGGAUAACUCCGGGAAACCGGAGCUAAUACCGGAUAACACAUAUCUUCGCAUGAGGAUAUGUUAGAAGGUGGCUUUUAGCUACCACUCAAGGAUGGGCCCGCGGCGCAUUAGCUAGUUGGUGAGGUAACGGCUCACCAAGGCGACGAUGCGUAGCCGACCUGAGAGGGUGAUCGGCCACACUGGGACUGAGACACGGCCCAGACUCCUACGGGAGGCAGCAGUAGGGAAUCUUCCGCAAUGGACGAAAGUCUGACGGAGCAACGCCGCGUGAGUGAUGAAGGUUUUCGGAUCGUAAAGCUCUGUUGUUAGGGAAGAACAAGUAUCUGUUGAAUAAGCAGGUACCUUGACGGUACCUAACCAGAAAGCCACGGCUAACUACGUGCCAGCAGCCGCGGUAAUACGUAGGUGGCAAGCGUUGUCCGGAAUUAUUGGGCGUAAAGCGCGCGCAGGCGGUUCCUUAAGUCUGAUGUGAAAGCCCACGGCUCAACCGUGGAGGGUCAUUGGAAACUGGGGAACUUGAGUGCAGAAGAGGAGAGCGGAAUUCCACGUGUAGCGGUGAAAUGCGUAGAGAUGUGGAGGAACACCAGUGGCGAAGGCGGCUCUCUGGUCUGUAACUGACGCUGAGGCGCGAAAGCGUGGGGAGCGAACAGGAUUAGAUACCCUGGUAGUCCACGCCGUAAACGAUGAGUGCUAAGUGUUAGAGGGUUUCCGCCCUUUAGUGCUGCAGCAAACGCAUUAAGCACUCCGCCUGGGGAGUACGGUCGCAAGACUGAAACUCAAAGGAAUUGACG